UCCGGUUUGUUUCCGGCGGUCUCCCUAGAUAGUCAACUAAGGACAAGGGUUGCGCUCGUUGCGGGACUUAACCCAACAUCUCACGACACGAGCUGACGACAGCCAUGCAACAUCUGUGCACCCGUCCUUGCGGAGGACCUCCUUUCAGAGGUUUGCGAGUGCAUGUCAAGCCUUGGUAAGGUUCUUCGCGUUGCAUCGAAUUAAACCACACGCUCCGCUGCUUGUGCGGGUCCCCGUCAAUUCCUUUGAGUUUUAGUCUUGCGACCGUACUCCCCAGGCGGGCCACUUAAUGCGUUAGCUUCGGCACGGAAGGGGUCAACACCCCCCACACCUAGUGGCCAUCGUUUACUGCUAGGACUAC
Molecule: unclassified non-coding RNA, 361 nt
Filed under: uncultured Ktedonobacteria bacterium
Lineage: Bacteria; Bacillati; Chloroflexota; Ktedonobacteria
Description: contains 16S-23S intergenic spacer region
Source: RNAcentral